UUCUUGAAAUAAACAGUAAUAAAAAGUUAUUACUGACUUAAGUCAUUUUUGCAUUUUUUCCCUAGGCCAAAAAAUUAUAAUACCUGGAAAAUUCCAAAUAUUAUUUUGCAAUGUUACUGGCAAAAUCCUAGAAUAUUAGGCAAGGUCAUGAGGUGAGAUUCUAUCACUUUGCCAUUGAGGAAUCCAAUGUGGGCUUCCAGUGUGACGCAAGUCCUGAUGGAGGGCAUACUGACCACUUCGCCCAGCACCAUACCAGGAAACACUUGAGUCUCCUAUGUGUGCAGAUUUUACAUCUACAAAGUAGGGUUCAACUCUGCAAACUAAGUAAGAAGUAAAGGGAGAUGGGUGCUCAGUGACCCCUAAGAACAGUGGCCCUUUCUCUUGACGCUGAUGGGGAAACAGCAGCACACGUGACUAUUUUAUAGCUGCCCCCACCUUGGGGUCCUUCUGUGCAGUCCCAAUUCUCUUUCCCUGGUGCACACUUGUGCAAUUGUUCUCCACAUUUUGGGAUAAAAAACCCUUUUUGUAAAGUAUUUUGGCUCAUUAAAAGCGUAAGACUAGGUUUGUUUUUCUUACACUUUAAGAAAGCCCUGUUAAGUUUUUCAGAGCAUGUUUCUAAGAUCUGGAGUUGCUGUGAGGUGUUAAAUGAAAAAAGUUUCGUGGCCAGACUUCAAUCUUGUGCUUUCUUGAAUUCACCACCAUUCGUAGGCUAGUUAAUACUCACUGAUUGUCUCUCGGUAACAGUCCAGCACACCAUAGGGUUGAUGCGAAUAGAUUGGGAAAAGCUGGGAUGCUUAGGAUUUAGUGCCUAGGCUCUCUAAGAGCUGUUAAUCCUCAAUGGGCAAUGGGCUGUCAGAGGUGAGCAGACAGCAUGUGACCAACCUCCAACACCACCAGGAACACAUUACUCUUUCCUGCAAGGGGGUCCGGAAGAUACGGGUUUGUGAACACCUUUGGUGAGUGCCUGUCUGUAUUGUUACAAUGCCAGCUGACCCCUGUUCUCUGGGCUAAGGCAGUCACUGGCCUGAAAACAGUUUGCUUUUUAGCUUCAACUACAAUGGUGUGACCAUGACUUUUAGUGUGUUGCUAUUUGGGGUCUCCAAGUUCUGUUUCCAAACCUUCUGAAGCAAACUGACAUUGGAAAAAAUCAGUGCUACAAAAUAUUGUUAUUGAGGCAAAAUUCUUUUCCCUAUUCACAUUAAGGCAAUUUCCAUAAAGAAUUAAUCAUGACCAAGAGAGUCUGUGUACAGUUCUGUGGUUAUUUUAGUAUGUAAGAAAGCUAAGCCUGCUGAACACACCUCAUUUCUGCAUUGAUUUCCCUAGCCUUGAAAAGAAACUGAAAACACUUUGAUAAAUGUCCUAAUGAAUAGUGCAGAGUUUCAUUUACAUGUGCUUUAAAAGACUCUUGAAUAAUAUCAAGUAGACUCAAAAUUGACAUCUGAACAUCACAAGACAAACCCUAAAGGAGCCAAGGGAGGGUGAAGUCACUUCUGCUGGUGUAGCCUCUGAGCUGAGUGCUGACAUGCAAAUUGAUACCUUGUCUGUUUACUCCCUUCUCUGAGAGUCUGGCCUGAAUGUGGCUUCAUUUCCACUAAAGUCAGGACUUCUACUCUUAAAGAAAAUGAUAAAGCAAUAGUCUUUACAUUUGAAUGACUGCUAGGAAAUUUAACUUGUUUGAAACUUAGAGAGCCUUUUACUCAAUAGUGUACUUUCUUGACUCCCCCAUCUUUUAUGGUAUCAAAAUGCUUCUUCAUUUUGUCUUGGUCAUACUCCACAUACCAUCAAGCUGCUGUUGUUACAAAUCCUGAAGAGUAGAAUGAAACCUUCUAUUGUCUUUGGAAUGACCUCUGUCACAGGUUAUUUGCUUUCUCUUGGGCAGUCGCAGUACCUGUCACUCAAUGAAGUGACAUAAUGUAUUUUACUCAAAGCCCAGGCUUUAGUGGGCAGCAUGGCUCAGGGACACUCCUGAUACAGCAAAACAGUCACACUGAUCAUGAACAGUGAGUGAGUGAGUGGCUUUUGCAGAGGUGGCAUGAAGUGCACAGACUGAAAGCAUCACACAUAGGAUGGGCGCCUAGCUGCACCACCUACCAGCUGGGUGGCUUUGGGCAAAUCACUCUCUCUGUGCCUCUCAGCAGUGUGCAAGGAGCGGGGUAAGUAUACUCAGUGCUGGGUAUACUGAAAUGCUGAAACCUGCUGUUGUUACUUAUUGUUUGCACUUCAAUCAGAAUGAGUCCCUGGGAUUUCUCUAAAAGUACACCACUUAUACCACUUCCCUCAGUACUGUAAGAAGCAACUCUUCUGCUCAUCAUGCAGCCGAUGAAUGUGACCUUAUGCUGAAUGUUUAUGAUGGCUCAUAGAAUAGGAAGAAAUGGCCCUAGAUCAACAGAUGAUCAACCCCACUGAACAUCAAGCUUUUGGAACAAAUUCAAUUUGUGUAUGUAAAUCAGGAGGUGAAAGAACAUCAUCUUGUAUGCUUACAAAGACUACAUUCUGUAGAACAUCUUCAAAUCUAAUCUAGCUUGUUAAAUUACUUUUCAAAUCAAAUAGGAAUAUGGACUUAAGCAUGAUGGGAUCAGAAUUACUCGAACAAUGCAAUUCCAUAAAAAGAACUUUGCAUGGGAUGUGGUUGGGAUGGAUACUUAUGAUAAAAGCAAAGCGAGAGGGGUCUUUGUUUAGAUCAAUUGCAAUCCCCAGGUAUUUGAUCAUUCAUUCAACCUACCAACAUUUACUAAAUGAGAAUAUGGGAGAGAUGCUCUGGAGACACAAAGCUUAAAAUAAAAGGAUCCCUAUACCCUCAGACCCUAGAACAAACAUAGAAAGAGCUAAAGACAAGAAACUGUAAAUUAGAACAUAAAACCAUAAAAACUGUAAAUUAGAACUAGAAACCCCCAAAAGGAAGUACUGGCUCCCCUAAAAAGCCAGUAUAUGGAAAGGAUAUGGCAGCACUCAGCUCCUGCUCUCAUUCACUAUCUCUGUGCUGUGCUUUACAGAGGAAGGCUCAAGAAACACCCUCACAGGGGUGUGUGCUUUUCGUCCAGGUUACAUAAAGUUAUUGGAGAACUAUUUCACUUUACAUGUGUAGUUUUUAACUACCUCCAUAUAUUAAAACAGCUAUGAAUAUAUAAGCAAGAGAAUUGCGGCCUGUGCACUUUGAUUUUGAGGCUGGAACAGGUGAUUUCAGCCAACAGUUGCUUUGGAGCAGGUGCAGACAGUCUGAGUCUCCUGGGCUCCAAGCAGCAUGGGCAGAUUGUUCUCUGGACUCAGGGCUGCCUUAGAGUCCUGCUCAUUGCUAUGUCCUUUCUCCCUUUCUUACAGGUCUAUAUCAUUGGAAGCUGGAGAAUCGGAGAAUGGAAGAUUCCGUCAGCUACAAAGUCAUAACCAACAGGUUCUGCCUGAAAGCAAGGUGGGGGGGUGAGGGGGAAGAGCUGGUCCAAACAAUAUAUAUACACAUGCACAGCUAUAUAAACAAUAAAAUUCAUAACCAACCAGCUAGAUCAUGUUGGCUCCAUGGAAGCUGUAUGAUUUGCUAAUUCCUUUUAAUUUUACUUAAAUGAUAAAUACCACAUAUCAAGUCUUUUGUGAAUAGACAACAAAUAUUUUGAGAUCAAGGUUAAAUAUGUCCUCCAAAAUGUCAGGAAGGAGAAUAAGAACAACAGGACACUUCUAAAACCAUCUGCAGGAGAGCAAAAUAAGUCCACUAAAUCAGAGAAGCAGAAUUUUCAAAAACAAUAAGAAAUAAAAAUGAAAUCAAAUGCAGUCAACAAGAAUGUCCCAUUGUUUUUCUUGGUUAACUGAGAAUUGAUACUGUCCUAUGAAAGCCAUUCUAGAAAAUACAAGAAAGAAAAUCUAAAGUCUUAUUAAUCAGUUCCCAGGUUGAGUGAAAAAUAGUCCAUAAAUACACAGAGAAAGUAGAAAGAGUGAAGCAUUUAAUAAAAGUAUAAAACCUUGGGGCUUCUGAUUUACUAUUUUGAAAUGAGAUUUCAUGAAAGUCAUUGGCUUGUUCCCCACUAGUUGAAGUCCUCGUGUGUGUGUGUGUUUGGAUGCACAUUGCUGGGGGAAAAGAUCCAAAUUUUUUAUGUAUGUAAAUUCUUUGAGUGAAACGGAGAGGACAAAUAUACUUCACAUUAGCACAGAAAGUAGCAUUAAAGAAACACCACACACAAUGGCACUGAGCAAUGAAUUAUCAUAGUAAAUCACACGUCACAAGGGUCACGCUGAGAUGAACAAGGUUGACCUUUCCAUUAGUAAUAGAUGACCAAGGACAGUCAUGGUCACAACUCUUGUUUUGUUAUUAUUUUGUGGGGGGGGCACCAGAGCUCUGAACUCUGAGCUUCACGCUUGUGGGCAAAUGCUCUACCACUUGAGCUGUGUCUCCAGCCCUUCUACUCUUACUUAAUGCUUCCCCAGGGCGUUAACUUCUUCAGACAAAACCAAAAAAUAAAUUAAAUAAGGGACAUAAACAGUUAAGUUUAUUAUUAAGAAUAAUUAUAAAAUAUCAGUAUACACAGACACAUUCAUUUAAUUGGAAAAAAUGGAAUAAAAACCAGUGGUAUAAUUAAGAGCACUCAGUUCAUGCUUGUUAUCCCAGCUAUGUGGGAGAAAAAGGAAGGCAGAUCACAAUCCAAGUAGAGACCCAGGCCAAGCUGAGACCGCAGCUGGAAAAAAGGACUAAAGCAAAAAGUGCUGCCGGUGUGGCUCAAGAAACAGAGCACUUGCCUAGCAAGUGUGAGGCCCUGAUUUCAAACACCCGUAUCAUACCUCCUCAAAAAAAAAGUGUUCAACUGGUCUAGCAAAAGCUUCAUAUAUUAACAUGGAGAGAUUUUCUAAAGGAUGUUCUAUAAUUAGUUAGAAAGAAUUAUUUUAAAAACUUUAAACCUAAUCACAGAGUAUAUAAAACACUCAGAAGCUAAAGGGGAAUACAUAAGGUCUGUAUAAACGGAGGUAGAGAAGGCUAUGGGUCUACAGGAAGACAUCACAGCAGUGUGACGUGUAACACAGGGCUCCUGGGGGAAGAUGAGGUGAGGGAGAGAAGCAAGACCAGCACAAACCUAACACAGACUGGAGAAGCCAAUGAUUCGGGGUUUCUGAAGACCAAGUAGAUCCAGACAUUAACAAAUUAUUUACAGAUUCUAAUAGCUCUGCAGAGAGAUAUUUAUUAUUCAUCAUCACCUUUUAAAAAUUCAUGAAACUGUACUUAGCGAUACUGUAUCUCAGAAAAAAAUCACAUUUUCUCUCACACUUAAAUAUAGCUGUUAUAAGUUAUUGAGAAGGAAAACAAAUCCACUAAGUAGUAUGUAGCUUCAGAAGGAGCCAAUUUCUUUUUUUUCCCUCCAGGACAGGGUCUUGUUAUGUAACCCCGGCUGGUUUGGUUUUGUGAAUCUCCCACCUUCACCUCCCCAGUGCUGGGAUUAUUCACAUGCCUAGCCUGUGAGUUUUUAGGCCCAAUUUAACCAUAAUUGUAACCUUUUCUUAUGCACAAUUAAAAAUCAGUGGAACCAAAAAAAAUCGACAAUGUUAAUAUAUUUUUUCAAAAGAAAAAAGAAACUAAUUUAAAUAUUAGAAAAAGUACUAACGACUUCCAACAAACUUUCCCCCAUGAUUGUUCUACAAAAGUAACAAACUUGAAUGCCUUUAAUUCAGGCUCAUUCAGAAGCCUCAAGGUCACAAAUUUCAAAAGAGAAUGCUCAAAAUGACAUCUGUAUAUCAGUCUUGUGCAUAAAGGAGGGACACCACUCAAAGAAAUUCAGGCAGUUGCUUCUAGAUGGAUGUGAGAUAAGACUGUUUGAAGUGGCUUUUUUCCUCUUAUGCUAGAAAACUGUGUUACUCAUUUUUAACUUCUUUUGAAAUGAAAACAUUUGAGAGGUAGAAAACUAUAUAAAAAUAAUUUAACAAACAAUUGUAUGCCUGCCACGAACUUCUACAGAAAAAGACAUAAAUACCAUGUAUGGAAAGAGAAACUCUUUCCUCCAUCUAGAGAGGCAUCAGCACCCACUUUUCUACCCUUUACACAUGAGUGUAAAUGCAGGGCUGUUCCAGAGGCUUCAGUUUUACAGAGUAGCAUCCUGCCAUGUACCCAAAACACAGCACUUUGCGAUGUUUAACUCAGUUGAGGAUUUGGAUGUCUGUCUGUCCCUGUUGGAGUGUGGAGAUCCAGUCCUGUCAUCAGUUUGAGAACAAAGCUCUUGUCUUGAUGACACCACCAGCUAGUUCUUCAUUUUCCUGAUGAUGGACUUGG
Castor canadensis (American beaver) is the source of this 6238-nucleotide non-coding RNA. NCBI's taxonomy places the organism in Eukaryota, Metazoa, Chordata, Mammalia, Rodentia, Castoridae. The record is from RefSeq and is a predicted model, not a curated record.